This is a long non-coding RNA of Onychostoma macrolepis, 1984 nucleotides long. RefSeq lists it as uncharacterized. The record is from RefSeq and is a predicted model, not a curated record. NCBI's taxonomy places the organism in Eukaryota, Metazoa, Chordata, Actinopteri, Cypriniformes, Cyprinidae. The transcript has 5 exons.
CAAAAAUGAGAUAACGAUACUGAGUGAAUGCUCUCCACACAUAGUAUAUGCUCAUCAAGUACUUUCACUUCAAAUUAGCUAAAUCCCAGCCUCAACCCAUUCAGAAGAACCAGUACUUACAUAGAAACCUAUACAUAGUAGCCAGAAAGAAAUGCUCAUUUUAAAGAAAAACGUCAGACGUACUUAGAGGCUUUUGCAUCUGAAGUCUUUGUAUAUAUAUAUAAAAUGAUAAAACAAGAAUGUGUUAAAUGGUUAAAGUCUAAUAAGAGGCAGAAGAGCGUUUAUAUGAAACUACUCAUGCAUAAAGAGUGUGUGUACUAGGAGGGUCAAGCGCUGUUGUGGGAGGAUUCACACGCUAGCUUGAGAGUUUUUAAUGUGUAGUCGUACAGGAUUUCAUUGAACAACUGAAGAAAAUGGUUUGCGCAUUUGUUUUCUUCUGGCUGUGCUGGUGGCAUUUGACUGGUGUGUUUGGCGAGUCAUUAUCAGUGAUGGAGGGAGAUUCUGUGCUUCUACACAAUAAUGUAACUGCAAUACAUGAAGACGACGACAUACUGUGGAAAUUUGGAGCUGAAAACUCUCUGAUAGCUCAAAUCAGCAAAGAGAACCAAAUCUUCCCCGACAGGAGAUUCAGAGACAGACUGAAGCUGGACAGACAGACUGGAUCUCUGACCAUCACAAACAUCACAACUCAACAUGCUGGACGUUAUGAACUAGAGAUAAGUGGAAAAAAACUGUCAACAAAAACAUUCAGUGUUACUGUCUAUGGUGAGUAACAAAAUGGUUCAGUCUUUUCAAUAUUCUUGAUUAAGUAAAGGAAUAUAUCAGGUUCAAUAAAAGUUAAGCUUAUGCAGCUGCUUUUUCAGCCACUCAUCCCUUUAAAAAGAAAGAAAGAAAGGAAGAACGAACUAACGAACUUAGAUUUAUUCUAUAGUUAAAACUAGGGUAUUAUUUGAGCUGUAAAGAGUUAAAAUCAUUUUUACACCCGUUUUAGGGUAUCGUAUGUCUACGGCCAUUUAAGUAUUUUAUUUGAGUAUUUUAACAUUUACAGAUCGACUGCAUUUACUUAAAUUAUGAGAGUGUCUCUCUGUAUAUUUUUUGUAAUUAUUAUGCUGCAAAUGCUAUUAAUUUAGGAUAAAUUGUACUGCAGCCAGAAAAUAUGUUUAAUCAUUUUAUAGCUUCAUAUGACAGAAACACUCACCUUGUGUCAGCACACUACACCAAAAACAAGAUUGUUGUGUACAUGUAUCUAUAUGUUCUCUUAUUUUUCAGCCCAUCUGCCCAUUCUUAACAUUACCAGAGAUUUUUCAAAAAACUCAACAUCAUCAUCAUAUUGUUCAUUGUUGUGUUCAGUGGUGAAUGUGGGUCAUGUGACUCUCUCCUGGUACAAAGGACACAGUUUAUUGUCCAGCAUCAGUGUGUCUGAUCUCAGCAUCAGUCUCUCUCUACCUCUGGAGGUGGAAUAUCAGGAUAAAACACCUACAGCUGUGUGCUCAACAAUCCCAUCAGCAACCAGACCACACAUCUGGACAUCAGUCAACUCUGUCAGACACAUUUAGAUCAGGGCCUACCUUUAUUUUACAUAGUGCUGAUCUCUGCUGCCGGAUCGCUGUUGAUUGUAGCUGCAGUCAUGAUGUGCUGCAUCUGCAAGAAACGUAGAAAAACAGUCCAGAACCAGGAAGAAGACAGAACUCAUUCAGCAUUGUGCAAACCAACAACUCGAAAAACGAAAUCAAAGUCGGAUGCUGUGUAUGAAAAUGUCCCCAAAAAACGAUGAUCAAAUAGGUAUCUACCAGAAUGCAUGCUAGUGCUCACACAGGACCCUGACUCACACCUGUUUUUGUUCACAGUUCUCAGCCAGGAUGUUAUCCUUCUCUCUCAGUUUUAUUUUUGCUCUUUGUAUCACAUUUUUGGCUUCAUCUUUUCUUUUCUUUUUGCUGUUAUGUUUUUUUUUUUUUUUGCAUUUUUUUUUUGCAUUAGUUUAAUU